UUGAGUUUCUGUUCCUCCGGCUGUGUUAAUUCAGUGCUUGUACCGAUUGUAAGCUUAUAAAGAACUGAGAAAGGACUCUAUUUGUGAUAUUUUCAUAAUGUCGAACAAAGUUUGCUGUGUUCCUGGAUGUUCCAAUAACAUAGAAUCACUGGAUAUUUUACAUAAAUUUCCAAACCCUUCUAAAGACAAGAAACGUUUUAAUACUUGGCUCUAUUCUGUUGGUGGUGAAAUUCUGAGCCUCAGCAAUGACCAUAUCUUCAAAUAUCGACGAAUAUGUCACAGACACUUUGAGGAGAAAUACUGGUGCCGAAAUAAUUUACUCAGCAACAUAGCGGUGCCAACUAAAAACUUAAUAGGAUUGUCAUUGCCAAAAUCCACCCUUAUGGAGAGAAGACCUUUAAGAUCAAUUCAAAAUUUGUCAGAACCAUCUACAUCUAAAGAACUUACAUUUCCUCUUCAACUGGAAUCUGUUGACCCACAACCUCGACCCCAAAUUGUCAAGAAAGAUAUUAAAA
Molecule: long non-coding RNA, 515 nt
Organism: Ostrinia nubilalis (European corn borer)
Lineage: Eukaryota; Metazoa; Arthropoda; Insecta; Lepidoptera; Crambidae
Exons: 4
Source: RefSeq, a predicted model, not a curated record